This 460-nucleotide ribosomal RNA is filed under the name uncultured bacterium. RNAcentral describes it as "partial 16S ribosomal RNA". It matches the Rfam family "Bacterial small subunit ribosomal RNA", at positions 338 to 795 of the family's 1533-position model. The record is from RNAcentral.
CCUACGGGUGGCAGCAGUGAGGAAUAUUGGUCAAUGGACGAGAGUCUGAACCAGCCAAGUAGCGUGAAGGAUGACUGCCCUAUGGGUUGUAAACUUCUUUUAUAUGGGAAUAAAAUGUUCCACGUGUGGGAUUUUGUAUGUACCAUAUGAAUAAGGAUCGGCUAACUCCGUGCCAGCAGCCGCGGUAAUACGGAGGAUCCGAGCGUUAUCCGGAUUUAUUGGGUGUAAAGGGAGCGUAGGUGGAAUGUUAAGUCAGUUGUGAAAGUUUGCGGCUCAACCGUAAAAUUGCAGUUGAAACUGGCAGGCUUGAGUACAGUAGAGGUGAGCGGAAUUCGUGGUGUAGCGGUGAAAUGCUUAGAUAUCACGAAGAACUCCGGUUGCGAAGGCAGCUCACUGGACUGCAACUGACACUGAGGCUCGAAAGUGUGGGUAUCAAACAGGAUUAGAUACCCGAGUAGUC